RNAcentral lists this ribosomal RNA (496 nucleotides) under uncultured bacterium. Its description in RNAcentral is "partial 16S ribosomal RNA". It matches the Rfam family "Bacterial small subunit ribosomal RNA", at positions 28 to 506 of the family's 1533-position model. The record is from RNAcentral.
GAUGAACGCUGGCGGCGUGCCUAAUACAUGCAAGUCGAGCGAACAGACGAGGAGCUUGCUCCUCUGACGUUAGCGGCGGACGGGUGAGUAACACGUGGAUAACCUACCUAUAAGACUGGGAUAACUUCGGGAAACCGGAGCUAAUACCGGAUAAUAUAUUGAACCGCAUGGUUCAAUAGUGAAAGACGGUGUUGCUGUCACUUAUAGAUGGAUCCGCGCCGCAUUAGCUAGUUGGUAAGGUAACGGCUUACCAAGGCAACGAUGCGUAGCCGACCUGAGAGGGGGCAGCCGGCCUCAGGAGGUGACAGACGAUCCAGGCUCCUACGGGCGGCACAGAUUGCUACUGGACGGCAAAGGGCGAAAGCCUGCAGGAGCGACGGAGCGCGAGUGAAGCAACUCCGCGUACCGUAAAACGGCCUUCUUGGGGAAGACCAAAUGUGCAAGUGACGAUGCGCGUCUGGCGGUUACCUAUUAAGAAGGCCCCGCUUACCUCCGU